UAUAUAUAUAUGACGCACGACGCGAGAAAACCGGUCUUAAUGACACUACAAUGAAUGUGCACUACAGCGAUUUAAAUGACGUCACUCUUAUUGCGUAUACACAUGUAAACACGGAAAUGCUUUUUAUCGUGUGUUAUUGUUUUUUAAGUGUACUUUCGUUAGAAUUCAGAGGAAAGUUUAUAUGAUGGAGAAGGAGUUAGAAGUAAGUGUCUACAAUGUAUAAUUUAUGAAAAACAACAACAAAAAUAUAUCAUGCAUGUUUAUUUAUAAGAGCAUCGAAUUGAUAAAUAUUUACUGUUGGUAAUUUAACACUGACGUUUACAGUACUGUAUAAAAUCUACACUACAGUACUGUACUUUAAGUAUGCUUUGAAAUACAGAAGAAUAAAUUAAUCGCCAACAUACAUCGGUGCCUUUAUAUAGAAUAAAUUUACGUUGUUUUGAUCUCAAUUAAAUCAAAGUCUAUUGUACUGUAGGGGUUUACCAAUCGAUCUCAUAUUUUAUAGGCAGAUCUAAAUUUAGGUUAAUUUAAGAAUAAUCUAAUCAGUCGCAAGUUAAAUUAAUACUCUUUUUCAUAAUUCAUUUACAAUAUGUUUCUAUAAUUCAUUUAGAACAUGUAAGCAAUAAAAUAAUAUAUGUCCAAAAUAUGUUACGUCAUCAUGGAAUAAAAAAGUUUUUUAGAUUUAAUAUUGUCUUUUAUUGAUUAAUUAGCACGCUAAAAUAUUGCUGAGAGUAUAGCUCAGUGGAUUAUGUUGUGGCCUCACAAUCAAACAAAUCGAGUUCGUAUCCUGUCUGAUACCAAUUUUUUUAUAUCUGUUUUUUAUUUAUUUUUUGUCAUGCAUAGGAUCUGAAAUCCCUCUACUCGGAUUAUUUUUGGGAGAACACUUAUCAAGUCACAAAACAGAUAUUUCGAGAGAUACUGACUAUGAUUAUUCAGAAGUGGAAAAAUGUGACACUUGCAACGACGGCACUGCGGGACCACGUACUUCUCGCACAAAAGACAUGCAUGCGCGGUGUUUAGUUGAUGCGGGAUUCGCACAUCUAAAGGCAUGAUUUAGAAACACUUCAACAGCUGGCCGAUGUAACAGAGAAGUCAUCUACAACAAACAGCCGGUAUGUUACCCCAAGCGGUCAUGGCGGCAAUGGAAACCUGUUCUUGAGGGAUUUUCGAACCAAUUAUUGGUAUAAGAUAGAAAAUUCCUGCACUUCCGGUUCCAGUCGAACACACCGGGCGUGGUUAUGGCCAAAGUAACACCUGAAGGCGAGGAAUAUUAGAUUCAAGUCUUGAAAAGAACACGGAUUCCGGUUCAGUUCAUGUGUCCGUCCAAGCGUUAUUACGCCAGUAGGAAUGUCAGCAGUGUCGCGAAGUGUGCGUGCGUUCGUCAGUCAAGACAGUUAAUCAUAUCAGUGCACUGUUACAACAGCUUAGUGCAGAUUUAAAUAGUCCGGCUGUUUGAUGGAUGUUAACAACACGAAAUGAAUAACUUCAAAUAUAUUUACGAGGCAGAAAAGUUCAAUGUUUCUAUUUAAAUAUCAAUUGUUGUUAAAGCACGGCCAUUGUUUCUGUUAUAAAGAAAAAUAGAACUUAUUAUUUAACUGUCUAUGUUUUUUAUAAGUAUAAAACGUUAAACGUAGACUUAUA
Molecule: long non-coding RNA, 1641 nt
Organism: Ruditapes philippinarum (Manila clam)
Lineage: Eukaryota; Metazoa; Mollusca; Bivalvia; Venerida; Veneridae
Exons: 3
Source: RefSeq, a predicted model, not a curated record